CGGAGGGAUCAUUACAGAGUUUUCUAAACUCCCAACCCUAUGUGAACUUACCUUUGUUGCUUCGGCGGCGGAGGCUACCCUGCGGGAGAAUACCACUUAGUGGUUACCCUGUAGUUUCAGGUACAUCAGCUACCCGGUAGUCAUCCCCGCCGGCGGCCAACUAAACUCUGUUUUCUUUGGAAUUCUGAAUAACAAACUUAAUAAGUUAAAACUUUCAACAACGGAUCUCUUGGUUCUGGCAUCGAUGAAGAACGCAGCGAAAUGCGAUAAGUAAUGUGAAUUGCAGAAUUCAGUGAAUCAUCGAAUCUUUGAACGCACAUUGCGCCCAUUAGCAUUCUAGUGGGCAUGCCUGUUCGAGCGUCAUUUCACCACUUAAGCCUUGUUGCUUAGCGUUGGGAGCCUACGGCACGGCCCGUAGCUCCUUAAAGUGAUUGGCGGAGUUGGUUCUCACUCUAAGCGUAGUAAUUAUAUCUCGCUUCUGUAGUGGUCCCGGCCCCUGCCGUAAAACCCCUUAUACAAAGGUUGACCUCGGAUCAGGUAGGAAUACCCGCUGAACUUAAGCAUAUCAAUAAGCGGAGGAAAAGAAACCAACAGGGAUUGCCCUAGUAACGGCGAGUGAAGCGGCAACAGCUCAAAUUUGAAAUC
This 645-nucleotide ribosomal RNA is filed under the name fungal endophyte. RNAcentral's name for it is "eukaryotic LSU rRNA". The stretch from base 210 to 363 matches the Rfam family "5.8S ribosomal RNA". Lineage: Eukaryota; Fungi. The record is from RNAcentral.